Molecule: transfer RNA, 72 nt
Filed under: Camelus bactrianus (Bactrian camel)
Lineage: Eukaryota; Metazoa; Chordata; Mammalia; Artiodactyla; Camelidae
Also listed under: 2 other names
Rfam family: tRNA
About the family: Transfer RNA (tRNA) molecules are approximately 80 nucleotides in length. Their secondary structure includes four short double-helical elements and three loops (D, anti-codon, and T loops).
Source: Rfam by way of RNAcentral
GAGGGUAGAGCUCAGUGGUAGAGAGCAUGCCUAGCAUGCAUGAGGUCCUGGGUUCAACCUCAAGUACCUCCG